RNAcentral lists this ribosomal RNA (623 nucleotides) under Penicillium sclerotigenum. RNAcentral's name for it is "eukaryotic LSU rRNA". It matches the Rfam family "Eukaryotic large subunit ribosomal RNA", at positions 1 to 638 of the family's 3401-position model. The record is from RNAcentral. Lineage: Eukaryota; Fungi; Ascomycota; Eurotiomycetes; Eurotiales; Aspergillaceae.
UUGACCUCGGAUCAGGUAGGGAUACCCGCUGAACUUAAGCAUAUCAAUAAGCGGAGGAAAAGAAACCAACAGGGAUUGCCCCAGUAACGGCGAGUGAAGCGGCAAGAGCUCAAAUUUGAAAGCUGGCUCCUUCGGGGUCCGCAUUGUAAUUUGCAGAGGAUGCUUCGGGAGCGGUCCCCAUCUAAGUGCCCUGGAACGGGACGUCAUAGAGGGUGAGAAUCCCGUAUGGGAUGGGGUGUCCGCGCCCGUGUGAAGCUCCUUCGACGAGUCGAGUUGUUUGGGAAUGCAGCUCUAAAUGGGUGGUAAAUUUCAUCUAAAGCUAAAUAUUGGCCGGAGACCGAUAGCGCACAAGUAGAGUGAUCGAAAGAUGAAAAGCACUUUGAAAAGAGAGUUAAAAAGCACGUGAAAUUGUUGAAAGGGAAGCGCUUGCGACCAGACUCGCUCGCGGGGUUCAGCCGGCAUUCGUGCCGGUGUACUUCCCCGCGGGCGGGCCAGCGUCGGUUUGGGCGGUCGGUCAAAGGCCCUCGGAAGGUAACGCCCCUAGGGGCGUCUUAUAGCCGAGGGUGCAAUGCGACCUGCCUAGACCGAGGAACGCGCUUCGGCUCGGACGCUGGCAUAAUGGU